Molecule: RNA transcript, 1135 nt
Organism: Arachis stenosperma
Lineage: Eukaryota; Viridiplantae; Streptophyta; Magnoliopsida; Fabales; Fabaceae
Exons: 10
Source: RefSeq, a predicted model, not a curated record
AUGUGUCUAUAUCAUAGUAGUCUUCUCCCUCUUCACAAUAAAAUUUGAAUAAGUUCCCAGUGCAUUAUAUCUCUACCAAAUCAAACCCAAUUUGCCCCAUAAUUGUGCCAGACAGGUACAAUUUUGUCAAGAGUAUCUGUCUUUGCUGCAUAUAGGAUUAAUUGUACACAAGUCCUCUAAUGUGUAAUAGGAUGGUUAAGUUUAUCAGUGAAAGCAAUUUUUUCCUCCGCCAACUUUUUGUUUAUCAGUGAUAUGCAUGAGAUGGUUACUGCUGCUUGUUAUACACCCGAUGGUCAGAGUGCACUGGUUGGUUCUUACAAGGGCAGUUGCCACUUAUAUAACAUAUCAGAAAAUAAGUUGCAACAAAAAAGUCAGAUCAAUCUGCAGAACAAGAAGAAGAAAUCACAUCUCAAAAAAAUUACAGGUUUCCAGUUUGCCCCAGGAAGUUCAUCAGAGGUACUUAUCACAUCUGCUGAUUCAUGAAUUCGGGUUGUUGAUGGUGUUGAUCUGGUUCACAAGUUUAAAGAAACCUGAAGAAGGAUCAGUCAGUCAUAGAGUACAGCAAUUGGCAAAGUACAGGUUUCUGAAGUUUUCUUGCAGCUUGGAUCCACUUGUUUCUUACCUUUCUAUCAACUAUCUAGACCGGUUCUUGUCCAACCAUGGGAUACUGAAACAAAAGGCAUGGGCCCUUAGGCUGCUUGCAAUUUCUUGCAUUUCUUUAGCACCCAAGAUGAUAAAGCCAGGGUACUCUGCCAUUGAUACUCAGGUUUCACUUACACAGGCAAGAAUAGAUAUGAGUGAACUCGAUGAGGACUAUGAUGGUUUCUUUCAGCCACAUCUAUAUUGAUAUGCUUGAUAACAAUCCGGAUAUGUAGUGCAAUGAGAUCUUGGAGCAAUUCAUAAAGACAAGGGGUUAUUCUGAAUUAUUUGUAAAAGCAUAUCUUAUUUGCGUGGAGACUGGAGAAGAAGAUGAAGAAGAAAGAAAGGUUGUUGUUGUGAAUGAGAAAGGAAGAGAAGUGAGAUCUGCGUUUAGUUAUAUGUUUUUUUUUUUAAUUUUUGUUUAAGAGUAAAAUUGUCCAAAAAAUAUUGUUCAUGAACAAAAGGAUGAUUUUAUAACGUUUUGUAACGUUGAGGA